RNAcentral lists this ribosomal RNA (1464 nucleotides) under uncultured Bordetella sp. Its description in RNAcentral is "partial 16S-23S ribosomal RNA intergenic spacer". It matches the Rfam family "Bacterial small subunit ribosomal RNA". Lineage: Bacteria; Pseudomonadati; Pseudomonadota; Betaproteobacteria; Burkholderiales; Alcaligenaceae. The record is from RNAcentral.
AGUUUGAUCCUGGCUCAGAUUGAACGCUGGCGGGAUGCUUUACACAUGCAAGUCGAACGGCAGCACGGACUUCGGUCUGGUGGCGAGUGGCGAACGGGUGAGUAAUGUAUCGGAACGUGCCUAGUAGCGGGGGAUAACUACGCGAAAGCGUAGCUAAUACCGCAUACGCCCUUCGGGGGAAAGUGGGGGACCUUCGGGCCUCGCACUAUUAGAGCGGCCGAUAUCGGAUUAGCUAGUUGGUGGGGUAACGGCUCACCAAGGCGACGAUCCGUAGCUGGUUUGAGAGGACGACCAGCCACACUGGGACUGAGACACGGCCCAGACUCCUACGGGAGGCAGCAGUGGGGAAUUUUGGACAAUGGGGAAACCCGGAUCCAGCCAUCCCGCGUGUGCGAUGAAGGCCUUCGGGUUGUAAAGCACUCCUUUUGGCAGGAAGAAACGGCAUGAUAAUACCGCAACUGACGGUACCUGCAGAAUAAGCACCGGCUAACUACGUGCCAGCAGCCGCGGUAAUGUAGGUGCAAGCGUUAAUCGGAAUUACUGGGCGUAAGCGUGCGCAGGCGGUUCGGAAAGAAAGAUGUGAAAUCCCAGAGCUUAACUUUUGGAACUGCAUUUUUAACUACCGAGCUAGAGUGUCAGGAGGGAGGUGGAAUUCCGCGUGUAGCAGUGAAAAUGCGUAGGAUAUGGAGGAACACCGAUGGCGAAGGCAGCCUCCUGGGAUAACACUGACUAUGCACGAAAGCGUAUAAACAGGAUUAGAUACCCUGGUAGUCCACGCCCUAAACGAUGUCAACUAGCUGUUAGCCUUCGGGCUCGGUAGCGCACAACGCGUGAAGUUGACCGCCUGGGGAGUACGGUCGCAAGAUUAAAACUCAAAGGAAUUGACGGGGACCCGCACAAGCGGUGGAUGAUGUGGAUUAAUCUGAUGCAACGCGAAAAACCUUACCUACCCUUGACAUGUCUGGAAUCCCGGAAGAGAUUUGGGAGUGCUCGCAAGAGAACCGAACACAGGUGCUGCAUGGCUGUCGUCAGCUCGUGUCGUGAGAUGUUGGGUUAAGUCCUGCAACGAAGCGCAACCCUGUCAUUAGUUGCUACGAAAGGGCACUCUAAUGAGGACUUUGCCGGUGACAAACCGGAGGAAGGUGGGGAUGACGUCAAGUCCCCGCUAUUCUUAUGGGUAGGGCUUCACACGUCAUACAAUGGUCGGGACAGAGGGUCGCCAACCCGCGAGGGAGCCAAUCCCAGAAACCCGAUCGUAGUCCGAUCGCAGUCUGCAACUCGACUGCGUAGUCGGAAUCGCUAGUAAUCGCGGAUCAGCAUGUCGCGGUGAAUACGUUCCCGGGUCUUGCACACACCGCCCGUCACACCAUGGGAGUGGGUUUUACCAGAAGUAGUUAGCCUAACCGUAAGGAGGGCGAUUACCACGGUAGGAUUCAUGACUGGGGUGAAGUCGUAACAAGGUAG